GGUGAAAAGCACCCCGGAAGGGGAGUGAAAUAGAACCUGAAACCGUGUGCUUACAAGUAGUCAGAGCCCGUUAAUGGGUGAUGGCGUGCCUUUUGUAGAAUGAACCGGCGAGUUACGAUUUGAUGCAAGGUUAAGCAGUAAAUGUGGAGCCGUAGCGAAAGCGAGUCUGAAUAGGGCGUUUAGUAUUUGGUCGUAGACCCGAAACCAGGUGAUCUACCCUUGGUCAGGUUGAAGUUCAGGUAACACUGAAUGGAGGACCGAACCGACUUACGUUGAAAAGUGAGCGGAUGAACUGAGGGUAGCGGAGAAAUUCCAAUCGAACCUGGAGAUAGCUGGUUCUCUCCGAAAUAGCUUUAGGGCUAGCCUCAAGUGAUGAUUAUUGGAGGUAGAGCACUGUUUGGACGAGGGGCCCCUCUCGGGUUACCGAAUUCAGACAAACUCCGAAUGCCAAUUAAUUUAACUUGGGAGUCAGAACAUGGGUGAUAAGGUCCGUGUUCGAAAGGGAAACAGCCCAGACCACCAGCUAAGGUCCCAAAAUAUAUGUUAAGUGGAAAAGGAUGUGGCGUUGCCCAGACAACUAGGAUGUUGGCUUAGAAGCAGCCAUCAUUUAAAGAGUGCGUAAUAGCUCACUAGUCGAGUGACACUGCGCCGAAAAUGUACCGGGGCUAAACAUAUUACCGAAGCUGUGGAUUGUCCUUUGGACAAUGGUAGGAGAGCGUUCUAAGGGCGUUGAAGCAUGAUCGUAAGGACAUGUGGAGCGCUUAGAAGUGAGAAUGCCGGUGUGAGUAGCGAAAGACGGGUGAGAAUCCCGUCCACCGAUUGACUAAGGUUUCCAGAGGAAGGCUCGUCCGCUCUGGGUUAGUCGGGUCCUAAGCUGAGGCCGACAGGCGUAGGCGAUGGAUAACAGGUUGAUAUUCCUGUACCACCUAUAAUCGUUUUAAUCGAUGGGGGGACGCAGUAGGAUAGGCGAAGCGUGCGAUUGGAUUGCACGUCUAAGCAGUAAGGCUGAGUAUUAGGCAAAUCCGGUACUCAUUAAGGCUGAGCUGUGAUGGGGAGAAGACAUUGUGUCUUCGAGUCGUUGAUUUCACACUGCCGAGAAAAGCCUCUAGAUAGAAAAUAGGUGCCCGUACCGCAAACCGACACAGGUAGUCAAGAUGAGAAUUCUAAGGUGAGCGAGCGAACUCUCGUUAAGGAACUCGGCAAAAUGACCCCGUAACUUCGGGAGAAGGGGUGCUCUUUAGGGUUAACGCCCAGAAGAGCCGCAGUGAAUAGGCCCAAGCGACUGUUUAUCAAAAACACAGGUCUCUGCUAAACCGUAAGGUGAUGUAUAGGGGCUGACGCCUGCCCGGUGCUGGAAGGUUAAGAGGAGUGGUUAGCUUCUGCGAAGCUACGAAUCGAAGCCCCAGUAAACGGCGGCCGUAACUAUAACGGUCCUAAGGUAGCGAAAUUCCUUGUCGGGUAAGUUCCGACCCGCACGAAAGGCGUAACGAUUUGGGCACUGUCUCAACGAGAGACUCGGUGAAAUCAUAGUACCUGUGAAGAUGCAGGUUACCCGCGACAGGACGGAAAGACCCCGUGGAGCUUUACUGUAGCCUGAUAUUGAAAUUCGGCACAGCUUGUACAGGAUAGGUAGGAGCCUUUGAAACGUGAGCGCUAGCUUACGUGGAGGCGCUGGUGGGAUACUACCCUAGCUGUGUUGGCUUUCUAACCCGCACCACUUAUCGUGGUGGGAGACAGUGUCAGGCGGGCAGUUUGACUGGGGCGGUCGCCUCCUAAAAGGUAACGGAGGCGCUCAAAGGUUCCCUCAGAAUGGUUGGAAAUCAUUCAUAGAGUGUAAAGGCAUAAGGGAGCUUGACUGCGAGACCUACAAGUCGAGCAGGGUCGAAAGACGGACUUAGUGAUCCGGUGGUUCCGCAUGGAAGGGCCAUCGCUCAACGGAUAAAAGCUACCCCGGGGAUAACAGGCUUAUCUCCCCCAAGAGUUCACAUCGACGGGGAGGUUUGGCACCUCGAUGUCGGCUCAUCGCAUCCUGGGGCUGUAGUCGGUCCCAAGGGUUGGGCUGUUCGCCCAUUAAAGCGGUACGCGAGCUGGGUUCAGAACGUCGUGAGACAGUUCGGUCCCUAUCCGUCGUGGGCGUAGGAAAUUUGAGAGGAGCUGUCCUUAGUACGAGAGGACCGGGAUGGACAUACCUCUGGUGUACCAGUUGUCGUGCCAACGGCAUAGCUGGGUAGCUAUGUGUGGACGGG
This 2246-nucleotide ribosomal RNA is filed under the name Staphylococcus aureus. Its description in RNAcentral is "partial 23S ribosomal RNA". It matches the Rfam family "Bacterial large subunit ribosomal RNA", at positions 513 to 2763 of the family's 2925-position model. Lineage: Bacteria; Bacillati; Bacillota; Bacilli; Caryophanales; Staphylococcaceae. The record is from RNAcentral.